RNAcentral lists this ribosomal RNA (253 nucleotides) under uncultured bacterium. RNAcentral describes it as "partial 16S ribosomal RNA". It matches the Rfam family "Bacterial small subunit ribosomal RNA", at positions 524 to 776 of the family's 1533-position model. The record is from RNAcentral.
UACGUAGGGUGCAAGCGUUGUCCGGAAUUAUUGGGCGUAAAGAGCGUGUAGGCGGCCCGGUUAGUCCGCUGUGAAAGUCCAGGGCUCAACCCUGGAAUGCCGGUGGAUACUGUCGGGCUAGAGUCCGGAAGAGGCGAGUGGAAUUCCUGGUGUAGCGGUGAAAUGCGCAGAUAUCAGGAGGAACACCAAUGGCGAAGGCAGCUCGCUGGGACGGUACUGACGCUGAGACGCGAAAGCGUGGGGAGCAAACAGG